UUCCAGCUUCUCUGUGGUGGGGGCCACAGGUGGAGUGGAGAGUACAGCAUCCAGAACCAUCUGAUGGGACAGAUGGUGUCAGGAGAGCUAUUGUUUUUCCAUUUGUUAAAUGGGAAUGACCCUAGGAACUUACAGGGCUGUGUUGGGAUUAGCGGUAAGGGCCAGAACAGACUGGCAUGCUGUAGAUGCUCAGGAAUGGGGAAGGAGGGGCCUUGUUUCUAAGAUGGUUUCCCUGUGCCGCUUCCACAUGGUGACCAACUGCACGUGCUGGGUAGGGCAGUGGUGUUGAGGGGGGUGCCAUAGGCUCAGGCUGCCUUGUGUGGAGGCUACGCCAGCUGUGUUCUCCCCACCCCCUUCCCGCCGCGGGAGUGGAAUCCAGCAGGAAUGCAUGUUGCGUUCUUUCCUGGCUACUUGGGCCACCUGUGCCAUCUGGCCAGGCUCAUGGAGUGCAUAGGCUUGGGAGUUAUGUCCCCACCCAUGCCCGCUCCCACAUUUACGCCCCAUUUUCAGAGGGAGAAUCUGACCCCUGGCUAGAGCUGCAGGUAGGGGAAGAAAGUCCCAAACAAGUUAGGGAGUCUUCAAGGGUCUUCCUGUCCUCUUUUGUGGCCCUUCCUACUUCCCCUGUCGCCCUGUCAUGCCUGUCUGCUCCUCCGGGCACCCUUGGCCUGUCUGAAGGCUGCUUAUCCUUUAGAUGCUAAACCACCUCGUCCCAGGAGGUGCUGUCAGCUUAGUAACUCUGACCUUAGUUCUAUUCAUAAUUUUAUGUUGGUUUUUCGGCUCCCCAGCAGCUGAAAGCCUCAAGACCCAGCACUCAGACGAGGACAGGGCCUGCUGAUUUCAAAGCCUCAGGCCCUGCUUGUGUGAUAGAACCCAGGACUCCCGGUGCCUUUGGCCAGGUACCAUCCUGGAAGCUGCACUGUACCAAGCCCAGUGCUUGGCACCUUCUCCUCAAGCUGGUCAGCAGUGAGCCCACCUGAUGCACCUGUGGGCACUUGUGGCCCUGUCCUACCACAGCCUUGAGGUCGUCAUCUUGCUCUGAGUUCCCUAAAAGCAACUCUGCCACCAGCCUGCCUUCUGCUUUAGAUUAUUGGAUAUAAACUGUAUUUCCCUGAUUAAAGGAAACCUCCGCACGGGGUAUAGAGGGUGUAAAUGUCCAGACUCACGUCUUCUAAGGCAUUCCAAGGGGGGGCUGCCGAAAGGAAGGAGUGUGUUAUGUCACUGGUGAGUUGUAGGUCUUUCUAGAAACUUGGAAUAUGACAUGUGCGCGUGUGUGUGUCAGAUUGUGUCACUUUGUUCCCCAGCUCUGAGGCCUUCCAUGUGCCACCAUUCUGGGCACUGCUGUCCAAGGUCUUACAGCUAGAGAAAAGGGGUCUCUCCAGAUAGAUUCUGUGGGUUCCUGCUGUCUGGUGGGUUCUGAGCCCCCCAUGGCUGUCUCCUCCCCUAGUAGCCUCUACCUUGCAAUAACAGGGCACAUCCUGGCUGAGUAGCACAGGGAGCUAGGGGAUGUUUGUCUGCACUGCUGCUGUGUGUUGACUCGAUAGCCACUUUGGAAGGCUGGGAGAAAGCUUGUGGCUCUGAGGUGGUCAGGGUCCUGCUGUCCAAACAGCCUUCUGGAAGCCCAGCCUUCGAUUGCCCCUGGCUCUUUUCAGUGGCAUUCCCCACCCUCCAGCAUAGAGCAGAGCAUGCCUCAGGCUAGAUUCAGGCAAGAUCAGGGAAAUACACCUGCAUAGCUGAGACUGGUUUUAAAAAAAUGGAAAACCCCUCCUACUGGGAAGAUUCAUGUGGGCACAGCAAAGAGCCCUGGGCAUAAGCUGUCAGAGUUCCUUUCACAAGGGCUAAGAGGGGACACGCACCUAUUAGGUGCCUGCUGUAUGCCAGCUGCUGCUGUGAACCUGUGAUCCGACUGUGUCUCCACUGGUCACCUCUACUGGGGGGAUGGCAGGACACCUACCUUAGGUGGUGGGCUAGAGUCAAGGUCGUGAAGAAUGAGGGAUCGGCCUCAUUCUCCUCAUGUCUGUCUGGGAAAUCUGAACUCAAAUUCUGUGCCCUCAACAGUACUGGAGUGAGGUGCCAGCCUGAUAGCGUGAUUGCUGGGCAGGGUGACCCAGUUGAACCAAGCUGUCAUUCUACCAUGUGUGGUAUUUCUGGGAGAAGCGCCAGGCUCAGAGCUGGUGUCGGAUUCCUCUGGGAGCCUUUCCAGAGGCCUUGUUUCCCUUGGGAUCCCACGAUUCCUGAGGGAAGGGCCUCUUCCUAAAACGUCUACACCGAUGAGCCCAGGGCCUUCUGUGGUGCGGUGGUCCACUCUGCCCCGUCUGUGGGUUGAGUCUCUCUUUGGAGGACUAGCUUUUCCUAAAAAGUACUUUCAGAACUGAGCAUAUUGCAGACCCUCAUCAAGACCUGCUGGGUCUGUAGGCUGGGCUGGCCAGUGACAGAGGUAGAGGCCUGAGUGGGCAUCUGGCAGCUCUGCCCCUGGGGGUGCCUUGGGUGUGUGAAUCCUGUCUCCUCCUACACGUGGUACUGGUGCCAGGGAAAGCAAGAGGGGAGCUGUGCCUGGUUCCCAAGCCAGACUGAUUGGGGAGGGAGCAUGGAGCCUGGACCAGGCUGUUGUACUGCGAUGACAACUGGGAUUAUCACCAAAGGUGGUAAUUCCCACAUGACAGUUUCAAGUUUCAGGUCAAGAGCUGACGCUAGUCCUCUGUCUCCUCUUUCAUCUGGACAGAGAUCCUUGCUGGCUUGUUUUCUGGCUCGUUCCUCAGCUGUUCUCAAGACCUUGUACUCCACAGAGACCCUGUUCCCUGCAGAUUCUGAGCCCCAGGGGAAUGGGGGAUGCUCUGUUCCACUGAUCCGGGCUGCAGAAGAGAACUGGGGGAGCCCCAAAAGAGACCUGUGGGAAGGUGAGGGCCACAGCCUCCCUGGGAGACCAGCAAUGGGGUGCUGAGGAGGGCAAAGUGGGGCUGGCAUUUGGAGCCCUGGUGGGCUUUGCAGCAGGCCAGAUGGAGGGGAUCACCCUGCCAGAGUCACCCUCUGACCACGGCAGCCUGAGACCUGUGGUGGUUGCCACGGGUUCUGCUAUACAUGUUUUAUGGCUCUGAGAAGAGUCUUCCCAGUAGCCCCAAGCAUGUGAGCCCACCACCCCCCACCUCCAGCAUUUCCCAGAAUGGAGCCUUCAGCCUCACAAGGAAGUAGAAGAUGAUGCUGAGUACCCUAGAAGUCAGGCAAGAGGUAAUCCUGUGGUUUUCUGGAAAGGAACUCCAGUAACUACCACAGGUUGGACCACAUGAAUAGCUGAGGCUUCUGAUAAUUAUGAUAAAUGAUGCUUGUGCUUCUGGAUGCUUCCUCCCUCUAGCAGGAGAAAGGUGGCCUGUUCAUCACCCCCUCAGGGUGUGAGGGUACAGUGUCAUUAUCCCCAUUUCACUGGUGGGAAUAUUGAGAGAUGAAACAAGCCUCUGAGUGGCCUCAGUAAUCCCAGUUUGUUUGUUGUCCUUUUUCUGGCAUGAUGGAAGAAGGCCCUGGAGGUUGGGGCGGGGAAGAGGGAGUCUGGGAACAGAGGAAUUAUAUUUCCUUUUCCAAGUAUGUACGUCAAGGAUGGUAGAGUUCCUGGCCACUUGAUUUGAGUGCACAGAAAGUUUUCCAGGGGAAAAUUCAUUCUGUCUUAAACCUAGAGACCCUGGUGCCUCCUGGUCUGUUCCUUGGCUUUUGACAUUGGGUACAUCUCAGGUUGUGGUGCAGAAUAUAAAAUAACCCCCCUUACUUCUACCACCCCAGCUUACCUCCGGUUCAUCCCCAGGAUGCCUGAAGUCAGGGAUCGAGCUCAGGGUGGGGCUAACCCCUCUGAACCUCCAGGAGGUAGCCUUGGCUGGGCACACCUACCUGGGUGAACCCCCUGCUUUUCAACUCGACUUGUUAGCCGUGAGGCUCAGGGAAUGUUGCUUCCACUUCCAAACCUUCAACUUUCAUCUGUAAGACAAGGUAUCAGCUCCCUUGCAGAGAAGUUUGAGGACUUGAAGCUGAGCACUUGGACAGGGCCUGUUACUGCAUCUGUGUGUUGCCCUCACAGAGGUCUCAGGGUCCCUGACUCAGGCUGGCAUCCCAGCUACUGUGUCCCCACCCACUCCCCUGCCCCCGUGUAUCCAGAAGCCAGUGAACCUCUCAGGAGUGCCGUAGAUUGGGGUGACCCAGGAGUAGAGCAGACAGGAAACUUGCAGGCUAGCCCCCAAGACCGAGCCAGAGCUAUGCCUCCGCAGGGCAGGAAUGCAGGCAAGCAGGAGGUUCCUUCUCCUGGUGGGGAGUCCCUGAUUCCCAGGGGAAAGGACUUGCACUUUGGAAAUCCAUUGAGGACAACAGAGCAGGGCUGCCAUAACAAAACCUUACAGACUGGGGAGCUUAUACAACAGACAUUUAUUUGACCUAGGAAAUCCCAGGUCAGUGUGCCAGCCAGUUCAGUUCCUGGUGUGGACCUUCUUCGUGACUUGAAGAUGUCUGUCUUCUUGGUGUGUCCUCACAUAUCAGAGAGAGAAAGAGAGCUCUGGUGUCUCUUCCUCUUCUUACAAGAACACGAAUCCCAUCAUGAGGGCCCCACUCUCAUGACCUCAUCUAAACCUAUAAUUAACUCCCAAAAGGUCUCACCGCCAAAUACCAUCACAUCGAAGGUUAGAGCUUUGGUGUGUGAAUUUGGUGAGGGCACAGACAUUCACAGGCGUAUCAUCGGUCUGUCCCCAGCAUUGGUCUCUGACUUGUGGGUGCUGAUCUUGUCGCUUUAGUUCACUGUCCUUAUGUGCACAUAAAGCCCCCCUUUCAGAACAAGAUGAAGGGAGCACAGUGAGGUCCUGAGGUCGAGAAGGAGGAAGGUGCUAGGGCUUCACUCAGGAAGGAGUCUUGCACCCUUCCUGCUCUGCCCUCAAAGGAGGGGCAGUUGGCAGACUAUUGUUGUGGGUGGGGAGGGUCCACAGCACUCAGUUUCUAUAUUUCUGACUUGUACAGUUGUAGUAUCCUGGUGGUUCUGGUCUAUUCUUGGGUAGCAGAGUCUGGGGCAAAUCUACAAUAGCCUAGCUUCUGAGGGAGAAUAGCACUAGUUAAAGAGAGACCGGGAAGGCAUGAAUGUUCUGCAUGGCAGCAGGGGGUGAACCACAGGGCUGGCCUGUUGCCCCUGACCGCAUGGGGCCUAGUCACUCUUCUCUCUCUGUGAUCUGAAUCUGAAUCUGUGGGUGUGCUGCUGAGCAUAGACAGCCCCUGGGUGGCUGCAGCUGGCUGGCUGGGCAGAGUCCUAUUUCCAUGCAUGAGCGAAUCAUUGACCAUGGAGACACUGGGUGGAAAGAGGCCUCUCAGAGCUUGUGCCUGAGCUACACAGUUGCUGUAUGUAUUAGUGUGCUAGGGCUGUGUAACAAAGAACCACAUACUGGGUGGCUCACACAAGAGACAUUUAUUGUCUCACAGAUAUAAUGGAGGCUGGAAGUCUGAGAUUGAGGUGUUGGUAGGGUUGGAUCCUUUUAAGUGCUGUGAGGAAGAAUCUGUC
This is a long non-coding RNA of Canis lupus familiaris (dog), 5512 nucleotides long. RefSeq lists it as uncharacterized. Lineage: Eukaryota; Metazoa; Chordata; Mammalia; Carnivora; Canidae. The record is from RefSeq and is a predicted model, not a curated record. The transcript is spliced from 3 exons.